AGAAACCGACAUCUUUUCUUCUGAAAUAGUCCAUCUUUCUACUGUCGGUACUUCCUUUUUCAUAACUUUUUCCUCGAUGAUCAUUGGUGUAGGUUUUGCUGAUGGGAUUUUCUUGGUAACCUCAGCCUGUUUGAGUUUUUCCUCUGCAACCCUCUGAGUGGUAAUCUCAACUUUUUCAUCAACAGGUUUCUUGACAACUUUAUGAACUGUAACUUCUUUCUUUUCUUUCUUUUCAGCUGUAAUUGCUGGAGGCUUUCGCUCAGGCACAGGCUUCUUAGGAACUUCCACCACUUCUUCAUGAAUGAUUUGUUCUUCUUCAUAAGCCACCUCUCUUUUAUCGUAAGUUUCUUCCCAUUCCUCUUCCCCUUCAUCAUAACCUUCUUCUUUGAAAUAAUAAUCAUGGUCUUCUCCAUAAUCUUCUUCCCAUUCUUCAUAAACUUUUUUGGGCUUUUCAUAUAUUUCCAUUUUUUCUUCAUGUAUCUCUUCUCUCCUUGCCAUAGAUGUUAUUUUGACCUCUUUGGGCUUCUCUGGCAGUAUCUCAGGAACUUAAAAAACAAAACAAACCAACCAUGUUACCAUCAUAGCCUGGAAUCUACAAAGUGUAUUGGAUGUUCACAGUUAGUGAAAUUAGUUCUUCCUUGCAAAUAGCGUUAUGUGAGGUUUUUUUAAAUAAGAUCUGUAAGAUUUAACAUAAACACAGAAAUCAAAGAGACAUCUGUUCCAGAAAAUAAUUUUACUAUUUUAAAGAGAGUAUUUGUUGUGUUGUUUUUUUUUUUUAAGUUACCUUCAGGUGGUGGGAUUUCC
RNAcentral lists this long non-coding RNA (804 nucleotides) under Gallus gallus (chicken). Lineage: Eukaryota; Metazoa; Chordata; Aves; Galliformes; Phasianidae. The record is from RNAcentral.